This 499-nucleotide ribosomal RNA is filed under the name Escherichia coli. Its description in RNAcentral is "partial 23S ribosomal RNA". It matches the Rfam family "Bacterial large subunit ribosomal RNA", at positions 1 to 530 of the family's 2925-position model. The record is from RNAcentral. Lineage: Bacteria; Pseudomonadati; Pseudomonadota; Gammaproteobacteria; Enterobacterales; Enterobacteriaceae.
GGGUUGUGAGGUUAAGCGACUAAGCGUACACGGUGGAUGCCCUGGCAGUCAGAGGCGAUGAAGGACGUGCUAAUCUGCGAUAAGCGUCGGUAAGGUGAUAUGAACCGUUAUAACCGGCGAUUUCCGAAUGGGGAAACCCAGUGUGUUUCGACACACUAUCAUUAACUGAAUCCAUAGGUUAAUGAGGCGAACCGGGGGAACUGAAACAUCUAAGUACCCCGAGGAAAAGAAAUCAACCGAGAUUCCCCCAGUAGCGGCGAGCGAACGGGGAGCAGCCCAGAGCCUGAAUCAGUGUGUGUGUUAGUGGAAGCGUCUGGAAAGGCGCGCGAUACAGGGUGACAGCCCCGUACACAAAAAUGCACAUGCUGUGAGCUCGAUGAGUAGGGCGGGACACGUGGUAUCCUGUCUGAAUAUGGGGGGACCAUCCUCCAAGGCUAAAUACUCCUGACUGACCGAUAGUGAACCAGUACCGUGAGGGAAAGGCGAAAAGAACCCCGGC